GGGUAAGAGGCGCUGUGCUACGGGGACAGGCUACGCAGAACCCUUGACUCAAUUUCUUCACUCCCUUUAAGAUUUAGGAGCCUGGAUAACAAAAGCUUUGAUCAAUUUCACAACAUUCAUGUGAAGUCAGCAGAACUAAAAUUAUUGUCAUGCAAUAGGUAAGUACUAUUAUGAUUUUAUCAUUGGGUUCUUUCAGGGGGAAUUUGACAAAGGAUUCUAAAGAUGACCUGA
Molecule: long non-coding RNA, 231 nt
Filed under: Dasypus novemcinctus (nine-banded armadillo)
Lineage: Eukaryota; Metazoa; Chordata; Mammalia; Cingulata; Dasypodidae
Description: lncRNA (ENSDNOG00000051268.1)
Source: RNAcentral